This is a long non-coding RNA of Trichechus manatus latirostris (Florida manatee), 744 nucleotides long. RefSeq lists it as uncharacterized. The record is from RefSeq and is a predicted model, not a curated record. Lineage: Eukaryota; Metazoa; Chordata; Mammalia; Sirenia; Trichechidae. The transcript is spliced from 3 exons.
UAAAUAGUCCGUUCUUCCCUCUAAAUACUCAGAAAUCCAUGUAUCGAUUGAUGCAGGCAAAAAGUCAGCUAUCUGGACUGCUUCUCAUUGGUGUCUCUAGGUUCUCAUUACCCGCACUGCAUUGUGGCGAGAAUGCUGAAGGCUUAUGUUGAAGAAUACAAUAAGCAACAGAGCCAUGUGACUUGCUGCUGUACUAACUACCAGACAAUGUUACCGAUCAUAUUAUACAGUCUCCAUGCUUUGAAGACACAGGCUGCUCUGCUAUGAUUCACUGAUGAAUUGCGAAAGUUGAAAGAAUUCAAACAAAGGUAAAGAACAAAUAAUUGUACAUGCACUGGAAGCAAAGUGAAGAGAUAACAUUUAUACUUGUGCCAUUUUGGCUCUUUGUUUUUUAAUCUUUUGUGAGAGCUCAAGACUAGUGACUGCAAUUUGGACCCGCUACUGGAUUCCCACAUGAUUUCUGGCUUUAACAAACAGUACUUUGGUGGACGAUUAAGCUAGCAGCAGUAUUGUUUUUGCUACAUAAAAGAGCUUUAAUAACCUUGAUUUAAUGAGCUUUUUCUCGUCUUUUCCAGUCAAUGCAUGAAAGACAACAGCUGUGGACACUGUUUUACCGUACAGGACUCCCCGGUUAGACAGAUAAGGCUCCAAACACAGUUACUUCUUGGUUGUCUUAGCACUGUUCUCGCCAUCACUGAGUUCAGUGUCUAUUUGUAAAGUGGAAUUGUUAUAAUGCUUAAAAAU